Molecule: long non-coding RNA, 453 nt
Organism: Rhipicephalus microplus (southern cattle tick)
Lineage: Eukaryota; Metazoa; Arthropoda; Arachnida; Ixodida; Ixodidae
Source: RefSeq, a predicted model, not a curated record
UACUAUCUGGAGAGAACGGUGCCUGGCUAUGACUCAUCAAGGACGGAUGUCAUCGUCCUGAUACUAGUCCUCCUCAUCUGCUGCUGCUUGUGCUACCUCUGGUAUUCGAGCAACCAACAGAAUGUUCCACCACACGGUGUUGGCUACCAACCAGUAAUAAACCAGCCGGCAGCCUACCCAAGUGCACCGCCUCUAGCUCCCAACCCACUCGGCAACCCUCCACCUUACAACUUGCGCUUCUGUUCGGCAUGCCAACAUCCUCACACAGCCUACGUGACGCCAGCUCAAAUUGUGAACGAACUGCCCCCGCCAAAAUGUCACAUUCACGUCCUGGACACGCACGGUUCGCCAAAUGACAAAUGCAGCACUCCUGGGGACAAGAGCAAUCCGCGUGAUAUUACGUCUACAGGUGAGCCCCGAAUUUAGGCAUUUGCAUAGUAGUUCAUAUUUUUC